UGGCGGCGUGCCUACUUCAUAGCAAGUAGAACGCUGAAGACUGGUGCUUGCACUAGUCAGAUGAGUUGCGAACGGGUGAGUAACGCGUAGGUAACCUACCUCAUAGCGGGGGAUAACUAUUGGAAACGAUAGCUAAUACCGCAUGACAAUUAAGUACUCAUGUACUAAAUUUAAAAGGAGCAAUUGCUUCACUAUGAGAUGGACCUGCGUUGUAUUAGCUAGUUGGUGAGGUAACGGCUCACCAAGGCCACGAUACAUAGCCGACCUGAGAGGGUGAUCGGCCACACUGGGACUGAGACACGGCCCAGACUCCUACGGGAGGCAGCAGUAGGGAAUCUUCGGCAAUGGGGGCAACCCUGACCGAGCAACGCCGCGUGAGUGAAGAAGGUUUUCGGAUCGUAAAGCUCUGUUGUUAGAGAAGAACGGUAAUGGGAGUGGAAAAUCCAUUACGUGACGGUAACUAACCAGAAAGGGACGGCUAACUACGUGCCAGCAGCCGCGGUAAUACGUAGGUCUCGAGCGUUGUCCGGAUUUAUUGGGCGUAAAGCGAGCGCAGGCGGUUAUUUAAGUCUGAGGUUAAAGGCCGUGGGCUCAACCAUGGUUCGCUUUGGAAACUGGAUAACUUGAGUGCAGAAGGGGGAGAGUGGAUUUCCAUGUGUAGCGGUGAAAUGCGUAGAUAUAUGGAAGGAACACCGGUUGGCGAAAGCGGCUCUCUGGUCUGUAACUGACGGCUGGAGGCUCGGAAGCGUGGGGGAGCAAACAGGAUUUAGAUACCCCUGGGUAGUCCCCCCCGGUAAACG
RNAcentral lists this ribosomal RNA (800 nucleotides) under Streptococcus sp. H14. RNAcentral's name for it is "bacterial SSU rRNA". It matches the Rfam family "Bacterial small subunit ribosomal RNA", at positions 37 to 808 of the family's 1533-position model. Lineage: Bacteria; Bacillati; Bacillota; Bacilli; Lactobacillales; Streptococcaceae. The record is from RNAcentral.